Molecule: small nucleolar RNA, 128 nt
Organism: Psammomys obesus (fat sand rat)
Lineage: Eukaryota; Metazoa; Chordata; Mammalia; Rodentia; Muridae
Product: small nucleolar RNA SNORA40
Exons: 1
Source: RefSeq, a predicted model, not a curated record
UGUAUGUGGUUUUGUAUUUUGUUUAACUGUAGACAAAGAAUUACAUCUAUGGACAACAAAUAAAUUCUUCUGUUGCAACCCAGAACUCACCGUUCAAUACAAAUUUUGUACAUUUAGUAAAGAACAUA